CCAAUAGCGUAUAUUAAAGUUGUUGCAGUUAAAAAGCUCGUAGUUGAAUUUCGGGAUCAGUAGGUCGGUCGUGCCACUGGUAUGAACUGGUCUCACUGGUUCCUCCCUCUUGACGAACUGCAAUGCUAUUAAUUUAGUGUUGUAGGAAAUCAGGACUGUUACUUUGAAAAAAUUAGAGUGUUUAAAGCAGGCUUUGGCUUGAAUACAUUAGCAUGGAAUAAUGAAAUAGGACGUUCGAUCCUAUUUUGUUGGCUUCUAGGAUUGACGUAAUGAUUAAUAGGGACAGUUGGAGGCAUUAGUAUUCAAUUGUCAGAGGUGAAAUUCUUGGAUUUAUUGAAGACUAACUACUGCGAAAGCAUUUGCCAAGGAUGUUUUCAUUAAUCAAGAACGAAAGUUAGGGGAUCGAAGACGAUCAGAUACCGUCGUAGUCUUAACCAUAAACUAUGCCGACUAGGGAUCGGAUGAUGUUAAUUUUAUAAUGACUCAUUCGGCGCCUUACG
RNAcentral lists this unclassified non-coding RNA (500 nucleotides) under uncultured Glomus. Its description in RNAcentral is "SSU rRNA". It matches the Rfam family "Eukaryotic small subunit ribosomal RNA", at positions 591 to 1092 of the family's 1831-position model. Lineage: Eukaryota; Fungi; Glomeromycota; Glomeromycetes; Glomerales; Glomeraceae. The record is from RNAcentral.